GCCUUAGUGGUGUAAUGGUCAGCACACUCGGGAUGUAUUCAAGAGGUUCAGGGUUCGAGUCCCGGCGAGGGCU
Molecule: transfer RNA, 73 nt
Filed under: Stegodyphus mimosarum
Lineage: Eukaryota; Metazoa; Arthropoda; Arachnida; Araneae; Eresidae
Rfam family: tRNA
About the family: Transfer RNA (tRNA) molecules are approximately 80 nucleotides in length.
Source: Rfam by way of RNAcentral